GCAGACCUGAGAGCUGAAAGCAACUUUUCAAAAUGGCAAGUGAGGUGCUGUACACCAUGGUGUCACCCAAGGAAAAAGUGAAUUUUAUUUCAGAAGCUUCAGAUACAGGUGAUGCAGUCACCUAUGCUGUGGUGAAUAUCAAAGGGAGAUCCGACAGACCUGACAGCACACCCAAAAUUACACAUUCAGUGACCUGCUUGAAGAAGUCCCCCUGGUGCUACCUUGUGCUCGUCCUGCUGUUCUGUGCUGCAGUUCUGCUCCUCAUGGUCAUCCUACUGGCAGUGAAAUGUUAAAGCCACUGACCCUGCUGCCCCUCCGGUCAGCACAGGAAGGUUCUGAUUCUUCAGUGGAACGGGACAUAGUGCUUGUUUUAUUUUACAUUAUUUUGGUUGAAGAGACGAAAUGGAGACAUGCCAUCAGACUGAUCACUCUCCAGUUAUAUCAUCCCAGAUCUCUGUUAAACCUCUAACCUCUCCAUAUAUGGACAAGGCAUAGUAAUUUUAUUUAGAAUUUUCUUAAUCCUGUAAUACCAGCAACCAUCCAACUGUAUCAGUGCAUGUAUCAAGACAUGGGCUCAAGCUCCUGCACCAAAAGGUGGAUUUGGGCCUUGUUUAGACAACAAAAAUGGCCAGAUGGAGACAAUACUUUUAAUUCACAUCUGACUUGAUUCUGCACUGAUGUGUAACACAGAUAAACUUUUGGAUUCUAUGCAAGUGCAAAAACUCACAGACAAAACAGGGAAUGUGCAAGGUUGCACUGAGGUUUUUUAUAAAGCCUGGGCUUGGACUUGAUUUUUCUUCUAACAGCCUUCAGUUGGAUUUGUAUGAAAGGUAUAUUGAAGAAAGGGAUAUUGAAGAAACUAAAUGUAGUUAGUAGAGGUCUCGAUUUCAUUUCUUCAUUGGCUUGAAUUAAAUUAUUCUGUUCCAACUGUCCAGAAGAGCAUGUCACAAUAUACUGUUUCUGUCUUGGGGCAGUAAUUGAUUUUUGUAUUUGUUUGUUUGGUUUUUUUUUCCCCCACAUGUCAUAGCUUCAGUUAAAACAGAGUCCUCCACUGGAACGGAGGCACCUGAAAUUCAAAUGCAUUAGUUUGUAAUUAUAUAUCUUAUUGUCUGUUUUUACAUUAUUUCUGGAUCUUAUCCAUUAUAACUUCUUUGUGGCAGGUUGCGGAGGAUUUGCAGACCCUGAGUAGGAGGAGUCUGUAUAGCAAAUAUUUCUAGAGUAUUUCUUGUAUCUAAACUUACCUGUACUUUAGCUGUUGCUGCUGUUGGCAAUGUACCCCAUCUUUAUUAUAUAUAUAUAUAUAUAUAUAUAUAUAUAUAUAUGCACAGAAGUCAAUAAAGGGA
This 1343-nucleotide long non-coding RNA is filed under the name Chloebia gouldiae (Gouldian finch). RNAcentral describes it as "Erythrura gouldiae (Gouldian finch) lncRNA (ENSEGOG00005005762.1)". Lineage: Eukaryota; Metazoa; Chordata; Aves; Passeriformes; Passeridae. The record is from RNAcentral.